This 490-nucleotide ribosomal RNA is filed under the name uncultured bacterium. RNAcentral's name for it is "partial 16S ribosomal RNA". It matches the Rfam family "Bacterial small subunit ribosomal RNA", at positions 30 to 507 of the family's 1533-position model. The record is from RNAcentral.
AUUGAACGCUGGCGGCAGGCCUAACACAUGCAAGUCGAACGGUAACAGGAAGAAGCUUGCUUCUUUGCUGACGAGUGGCGGACGUGUGAGUAAUGUCUGGGAAACUGCCUGAUGGAGGGGGAUAACUACUGGAAACGGUAGCUAAUACCGCAUAACGUCGCAAGACCAAAAAGGGGGACCUUCGGGCCUCUUGCCAUCGGAUGUGCCCAGAUGGGAUUAGCUAGUAGGUGGGGUAACGGCUCACCUAGGCGACGAUCCCUAGCUGGUCUGAGAGGAUGACCAGCCACACUGGAACUGAGACACGGUCCAGACUCCUACGGGAGGCAGCAGUGGGGAAUAUUGCACAAUGGGCGCAAGCCUGAUGCAGCCAUGCCGCGUGUAUGAAGAAGGCCUUCGGGUUGUAAAGUACUUUCAGCGGGGAGGAAGGGAGUAAAGUUAAUACCUUUGCUCAUUGACGUUACCCGCAGAAGAAGCACCGGCUAACUCCGUG